UAACUGGCUGAUAAUUCGUGCAUACAUCUUACUUAUAGAUGUGCUAAGCUGUUUUUUAAACAUGUUAAUUUUUUUUUCUUGUAUAUCUUUAUUUGUUUGAAUUGGAUUAAAGGCCAAUACAAAGAACUAGGUGGUAGACUAUGUAAGGAACUGAACCGUACAAUGUCCGUUAAGAAGGUAAAAUGGGCUUUACAAGACGUCAGAAAGGGUCUGAGACGACCUGAAAGAGGAUCGAUUUGUCGUACGGUUCAUAGCGCGUACAUGUAUGAAUUGGGGUUUAAGCGGGUUGCGUAGACAAUUAAAGAACAACCCUACCGUGACAGAAAAAUAGAGGAAAGUAUCCGUUUAGAGAUGAAAGCCUUCUGUGGGUUUGAGGAGGGGGCGUUAUUAAACAGACCUAUACCAUCCAUAGAUGAUGUGUUGGCAGGUCUGAUAACAAUUACAAACGACCCUAGCACUGAUGGGACUAGUGCGCCGAGUAGUCCUAUCAUGCCGAGCGUUGAGAUAGUGCCGAAAGAAACUUCAGGGAGCGCAAGGACAUCAAGUUAACGUCAUUCUAAGGUAAAUGUAUUAAGAUAUAUUUCAAAAUCAAAUGAUAGGUUAAUAUUUAUCUCUAUUUUAUCCCUAUUUCUAUUUAAUUUUAGAUAAAAACUUGUAGUAAAAGCCGCCCCCAAUUAAAUUCCGCCUCAUUGUGGAAGAUGUUCAGAGUAUCACACAAGCAUUCACAUGCAGUACUUUUAUUGGCCAAUGGACGGGGGAGAGCGCUACUAUAGAUGAGCCCCUCGACCAAUUUGACCCUAUUUUUAAUACCAACAUGAGCGCUGGAAUAUCGAAUAUUUUUGCCAAAUUUGGAAUCGACUUUUUAUUUUUGCGGCCAGGAACGUGCUUAAAUCGAUUCAGAGUUUGAUGCCGAACAAGAAUACAGCUUUCGUCGGCUCGGAAGCUUCCUUCUGAGCGUUGCAAACAUUUUGACAAGAUGAACGCUGUGCCUUGGUAGUGAGUAAAACAUCUUAUAUUGGUCGCGCAAACACUAAAGCAUUUUACAUUCAGCUGCGUCCAAUUGACUCACCAACGUUAUUUCACCAAGGAUCAUUUGUUAGAACGCUGAAUUUUUACCAGUUUUAAAUUGGAUGCACUACGUUCUCCGCCAGAAAGACUGCAAAGCAUCAGUACCUAAUGGAAAUUUCUGGGCGAUUAAAAAGGGAAAAUAAAAA
Glossina fuscipes is the source of this 1214-nucleotide long non-coding RNA. RefSeq lists it as uncharacterized. NCBI's taxonomy places the organism in Eukaryota, Metazoa, Arthropoda, Insecta, Diptera, Glossinidae. The record is from RefSeq and is a predicted model, not a curated record. The transcript is spliced from 2 exons.